Molecule: ribosomal RNA, 672 nt
Filed under: Pseudomonas sp. EECC-512
Lineage: Bacteria; Pseudomonadati; Pseudomonadota; Gammaproteobacteria; Pseudomonadales; Pseudomonadaceae
Description: bacterial SSU rRNA
Rfam family: Bacterial small subunit ribosomal RNA
Source: RNAcentral
UCUCUUGAGAGCGGCGGACGGGUGAGUAAUGCCUAGGAAUCUGCCUGGUAGUGGGGGAUAACGUUCGGAAACGGACGCUAAUACCGCAUACGUCCUACGGGAGAAAGCAGGGGACCUUCGGGCCUUGCGCUAUCAGAUGAGCCUAGGUCGGAUUAGCUAGUUGGUGAGGUAAUGGCUCACCAAGGCGACGAUCCGUAACUGGUCUGAGAGGAUGAUCAGUCACACUGGAACUGAGACACGGUCCAGACUCCUACGGGAGGCAGCAGUGGGGAAUAUUGGACAAUGGGCGAAAGCCUGAUCCAGCCAUGCCGCGUGUGUGAAGAAGGUCUUCGGAUUGUAAAGCACUUUAAGUUGGGAGGAAGGGUUGUAGAUUAAUACUCUGCAAUUUUGACGUUACCGACAGAAUAAGCACCGGCUAACUCUGUGCCAGCAGCCGCGGUAAUACAGAGGGUGCAAGCGUUAAUCGGAAUUACUGGGCGUAAAGCGCGCGUAGGUGGUUUGUUAAGUUGGAUGUGAAAUCCCCGGGCUCAACCUGGGAACUGCAUUCAAAACUGACUGACUAGAGUAUGGUAGAGGGUGGUGGAAUUUCCUGUGUAGCGGUGAAAUGCGUAGAUAUAGGAAGGAACACCAGUGGCGAAGGCGACCACCUGGACUAAUACUGACACUGAGGUG